CCUACGGGUGGCAGCAGUGAGGAAUAUUGGUCAAUGGACGCAACUCUGAACCAGCCAUGCCGCGUGCAUGAAGACGGCUCUAUGAGUUGUAAACUCCUUUUUUACGAGGGUAAACGCAGAUACUUCUUUCUGUCUGAAAGUAUCCUACGAAUAUGGAUCGGCUAACUCCGUGCCAUCAGCGGCGGUAAUACGGAGGAUUCAAGCGUUAUCCGGAUUUAUUGGGUUUAAAGGGUGCGUAGGCGGUCGGAUAAGUUAGAGGUGAAAUCCCGAGGCUCAACUUCGGAAUUGCCUGUGAUACUGUUGGACUAGAGAGUAGUUGCGGUAGGCGGAAGGUAUGGUGUAGCGGUGAAAUGCUUAGAGAUCAUACAGAACACCAAUUGCGAAGGCAGCUUACGAAGCUACUUCUGACGUUGAGGCACGAAAGCGUGGGGAGCAAACAGGAUUAGAUACCCGGGUAGUC
This 460-nucleotide ribosomal RNA is filed under the name uncultured bacterium. RNAcentral describes it as "partial 16S ribosomal RNA". It matches the Rfam family "Bacterial small subunit ribosomal RNA", at positions 338 to 795 of the family's 1533-position model. The record is from RNAcentral.